RNAcentral lists this ribosomal RNA (423 nucleotides) under uncultured bacterium. Its description in RNAcentral is "bacterial SSU rRNA". It matches the Rfam family "Bacterial small subunit ribosomal RNA", at positions 30 to 455 of the family's 1533-position model. The record is from RNAcentral.
AUUGAACGCUGGCGGCAUGCCUUACACAUGCAAGUCGAACGGCAGCACGGGAGCAAUCCUGGUGGCGAGUGGCGAACGGGUGAGUAAUAUAUCGGAACGUGCCCAGUCGUGGGGAUAACGUAGCGAAAGCUACGCUAAUACCGCAUACGAUCUAUGGAUGAAAGCGGGGGAUCGCAAGACCUCGCGCGAUUGGAGCGGCCGAUAUCAGAUUAGGUAGUUGGUGAGGUAAAGGCUCACCAAGCCGACGAUCUGUAGCUGGUCUGAGAGGACGACCAGCCACACUGGGACUGAGACACGGCCCAGACUCCUACGGGAGGCAGCAGUGGGGAAUUUUGGACAAUGGGCGCAAGCCUGAUCCAGCAAUGCCGCGUGCAGGAUGAAGGCCUUCGGUUGUAACUAGCUUUGUUACGGUAACGAACGGUA